RNAcentral lists this ribosomal RNA (236 nucleotides) under uncultured Candidatus Saccharibacteria bacterium. RNAcentral describes it as "partial 16S ribosomal RNA". It matches the Rfam family "Bacterial small subunit ribosomal RNA", at positions 584 to 818 of the family's 1533-position model. Lineage: Bacteria; Candidatus Saccharimonadota. The record is from RNAcentral.
AAAGCGAAUAGUGAAAUCUGGCGGCUCAACCGUACAGGCUAUUAUUCGAACUCACUAACUCGAGAGUGGUAGAGGUUACUGGAAUUUCUAGUGUAGGAGUGAAAUCCGUAGAUAUAAGAAGGAACACCGAUGGCGUAGGCAGGUGACUGGACCAUUUCUGACGCUGAGGCACGAAAGCGUGGGGAGCAAACAGGAUUAGAUACCCUGGUAGUCCACGCCCUAAACGAUGCGAACUG